UUGCUAAUUUUGGCAGCAUAUAUCUGAGAUUGCAACAAUACAGAGAAUAUUAGCAUGGCCCCUGAAAAGGAUGACAGGCAAAUAUGUGAAGUGUUCCAUAUUAAA
Molecule: small nuclear RNA, 105 nt
Organism: Nannospalax galili (Upper Galilee mountains blind mole rat)
Lineage: Eukaryota; Metazoa; Chordata; Mammalia; Rodentia; Spalacidae
Source: Ensembl